UAGCUCAGUUGGUAGAGUGCUUGCCUCACAUGCACAAGGUUCUGGGUUCAAUCCCCAG
This 58-nucleotide transfer RNA is filed under the name Urocitellus parryii (Arctic ground squirrel). RNAcentral's name for it is "Spermophilus parryii (Arctic ground squirrel) tRNA". It matches the Rfam family "tRNA", at positions 8 to 63 of the family's 71-position model. Rfam says of the family: Transfer RNA (tRNA) molecules are approximately 80 nucleotides in length. Their secondary structure includes four short double-helical elements and three loops (D, anti-codon, and T loops). Further hydrogen bonds mediate the characteristic L-shaped molecular structure. tRNAs have two regions of fundamental functional importance: the anti-codon, which is responsible for specific mRNA codon recognition, and the 3' end, to which the tRNAs corresponding amino acid is attached (by aminoacyl-tRNA synthetases). tRNAs cope with the degeneracy of the genetic code in two manners: having more than one tRNA (with a specific anti-codon) for a particular amino acid; and 'wobble' base-pairing, i.e. permitting non-standard base-pairing at the 3rd anti-codon position. Lineage: Eukaryota; Metazoa; Chordata; Mammalia; Rodentia; Sciuridae. RNAcentral also lists the same sequence under 1 other name. The record is from Rfam by way of RNAcentral.